Molecule: ribosomal RNA, 482 nt
Filed under: uncultured bacterium
Lineage: Bacteria
Description: partial 16S ribosomal RNA
Rfam family: Bacterial small subunit ribosomal RNA
Source: RNAcentral
AUUGAACGCUGGCGGCAUGCUUUACACAUGCAAGUCGAACGGCAGCGCGGGGCAACCUGGCGGCGAGUGGCGAACGGGUGAGUAAUACAUCGGAACGUACCCAGAAGUGGGGGAUAACGUAGCGAAAGUUACGCUAAUACCGCAUACGUUCUACGGAAGAAAGUGGGGGACCUUCGGGCCUCAUGCUUUUGGAGCGGCCGAUGUCUGAUUAGCUAGUUGGUGAGGUAAAGGCUCACCAAGGCGACGAUCAGUAGCUGGUCUGAGAGGACGACCAGCCACACUGGGACUGAGACACGGCCGAGACUCCUACGGGAGGCAGCAGUGGGGAAUUUUGGACAAUGGGCGCAAGCCUGAUCCAGCAAUGCCGCGUGAGUGAAGAAGGCCUUCGGGUUGUAAAGCUCUUUUGUCAGGGAAGAAACGGCUGAGGAUAAUACCUUCGGCUAAUGACGGUACCUGAAGAAUAAGCACCGGCUAACUACGUG